This is a long non-coding RNA of Marmota monax (woodchuck), 2849 nucleotides long. RefSeq lists it as uncharacterized. The transcript has 2 exons. The record is from RefSeq and is a predicted model, not a curated record. NCBI's taxonomy places the organism in Eukaryota, Metazoa, Chordata, Mammalia, Rodentia, Sciuridae.
UGGAAAGUGAGCAUGCCCAGGAAGAGGGACUCCAGCUAGAGAAGACGCUGCCCACCUAAUGGCCAGGCACUGGGGAAGGGCCAUGGGAGGACACAGUGAGAAUGUGGCCGUCUGCAAACCAGCCAGAAGCUCCUCUGAAACUGAAUCAGCCGGUACCUUGAUCUUGGACAUGUAGCCUCCAGAGCGGUGAAAAGUAAAUAUCUGUGGCCGAAGCCUGGAGCCCGAAGUAUCCUGCUAUGCAGCCUCAGUAGCUGAUACCUCCAGAUGAGGGGGCUCACAUGGCUAAAAUUCUUCUCCAAACUCAGAGUUGGGUGCACAUCACUAAAAAUCACUGGUUGCUUCUAGUUCCCAAGGCCCAUCCUGUGUGAACCCUUCCUGGCUCUGACCUGCCCAGGUGGGGAGAGGUGAUUUUGUUGUGGUCAUCCAUAAGGCUCCUGCAAGGCCACAGCAAGAGGGACAGCCUAAAGACAACCCCCCUGUGGGGAAGCUCCUUGCCCUGCUGUACCUAUUGAGCUGGGCCUUCUUGUCACCUCUGCUGACCACCUCUGGUUCUGAACAGUGGUGGGAAGUGACAGGGGUCUGUGGAAUCCAUAGCAGCUGCUGGAGUAGAAAACCUUAUAGUCCAUGAUGAUGUCUCCUGCCCCAAUUUGGUCACCAGCAGCUGGGGCUGAGGCCAGGAGACAGCAGGAACCAGCCCUUCAUUCCUGAUGAGUCCAGAGUCUGAGGGUUUCUUCUGAGCAGAGCAGAGAAGGCAAGUGCAGAUGUGCAGGCUGAGGGCCAUUCUGGAAGUUCACAGCCCUGCCUGUGGCUGCAGCCCUAGGGACCAGCGUGGAGAAGGGCCUGGGGCAAAGGAGGUGGGGCGCCCCUUCUCGGUCUCCUAGGUGCUGGCCGCCAGGGCUGGGGCAGUGUGACCAUUAUCUCCUUGGACACUCACAAAGCACAGCUCUGUGAGCGGUGGGAGCCCGCUGUGCCAAGGGGGAGAUGGGGCGUGGAGGGGUCCUUUACCUGUGCCUGCUGUCAGGGUCAAGGCCACAGCCUGGAAGAGCUGCAGGCCCCUGGAGUUUUCUGGUCUAGCCAGCAUCCGACUGAAGGGGGAGCGGUCGAAGUUGGGGUGGUCAGGAGCAGAACAGGACCUGCCUCUGUUGGGACCCUCCUUUUUCUAGAACAUUCAACAUCACUUUUGAUGUAGGAAUUCGUCUCCUUCCUUAGACAAGGAGCAGCUGGAAGUCCUGCAGGGCAAUCUGAGGGAGGGCCCUGACUUGGCCUGGAGCUCCGCAGCCUGGGUGUCCCUGAAGACUUUGCCUGUGCCCAUCCUCCUGUGGCUGUGGACACAGGCACCGUGCACCGGCAGCCCUGGCUGCCCGCUGCCUUCUGUCCUCAGGGCUGUGACUCUCCGCCCAGCCUUGCCUUCUCAACCCUGGACAGAGCGGUCACCCUGUCCCUACUUCGGGAGAGAACUGGCACCCACUGAGCCGGCCUGCUCACCUGUGAGCUGCAGCCACAGCCGCACCCAUUCCAAUCCUACGAAGAACUAACUUGUGAAUGUCUCUAUAUUGAUUUAGAAGCUAAACUUACGGGACUUCAGGGCUGCUUUGGUUUGGAAGUAGAUGUGGAGACAAAGAUUUUAGCUUGUACCUGGGGAGACACCCUCGUGGAGACUGGUAGGAAGUAAGGCAGGCGAGGCAGGUUAGGGUCUGGGCCACGGAACAGGGCCUUUGACUAGAGGGCUUGAAACAGAGAAUCCCUCUCACAAUCCUGGAGCUGGCCGUCUGGAGUCAAGGUUGGACGGCCCUGCUCCCUCCGAGGGACUGCCCAGGGGGCCGUGUUCCAGCCCCUCCUGGAUGGUUGGCAGCCUCUGGCGAUCCUUGGCUUGUAGCUGUGACCUUUGACUGUCCAUCUUCAUGUGACGUCUCCCUGGGUCUCUUCACACGGUCUUCUCUCUCUGUUUGUCUGUCUCUGGGUUCAAAUUUCCCUUUUUUAUAGUGACAUCAGUCAUGUCUGAUUAGGGUCCUAAAGACGUCAUCCUAACCGGAUCCCCUCUGUAAAGACCCCACCUGGGGUACUGGAGGCUAGGACUCCGAUGUGUCAUUUUGGGGAACACAACCCAACACCUAACAGAAGGGGAGGAGGCUGAUGACGGCGGGUCAUCCCCAGCUUUGUGCCUAUCCUGCCAAUACCUCCAGAGAGCAAUGGAGACUGCACUGGUCAUCCCAGCAAGGACAAGCAGCUGGGUAUUUCUUGGCUCCAGAACCCUUUUGCCCCCUGCGUGCCCACCAGGGAGCUGACCUCUGUACUCAGCCCUCAGUGUGCAGAGUGCAGAGCCUCCUGGGUAAGGGCCAGCAGGGCCUCCCCUGGUGCCGCAGUCCGGCUGCAGCAAAAUAACCCGGGGGGGGGGGGUGACGAAGAACUUGUGUAGAUUGAUACAGCAGGAGUGGGAGCCGUUUAUUAUAGGACAGGAGCGGUAUAUAUACAUUCCACAGAGCUUAUCUAAUUAGCAUAAACUCGAUACAGCAGUCAACCAAUAAGGAAUCUGCACACUUCAUGGCUCGCUGGCCUUACUUCACAAACCACUCCCUCUGGCAAAAUGCCAGGCGCCAUCCAGACUUGUUUACAGACUCUAACAUUUGCCAGGCGCCAUCCUGACUUGUUUACAGACUCUAACACUGGGCCACAUUUGUGCCCAGGAAGAUGGAGUUGCCCGCACCCUGGAGUGUUCAGGGCACCUGAAAGAAAAUGCUUCUGAAAUAGCAGAUUUACUGUUCCUCUGAUGUAUUCAGUGGGCUGUAUUACAUAAAUUUUUAUCACGUGUGAAAUAUAAUACUCAAUGAACUAUACUAUAUAGUGUAUAA